This 472-nucleotide ribosomal RNA is filed under the name uncultured bacterium. RNAcentral describes it as "bacterial SSU rRNA". It matches the Rfam family "Bacterial small subunit ribosomal RNA", at positions 27 to 518 of the family's 1533-position model. The record is from RNAcentral.
GGACGAACGCUGGCGGCGUGCGUUCAUACAUGCAAGUCGAACGAGAAGCUGACUUCGGUCAGUGGAAAGUGGCGGACGGGUGAGUAAUAUGUAGAGAAUCUGCCCUUGAGUGGGGGACAACAGAGGGAAACUUCUGCUAAUACCCCAUAUGAGCUAACUUGAAAUAGUUAUCUUGAAAACUCCGGUGCUCAAGGAUGAGUCUGCAUCUGAUUAGCUAGUUGGCGGUGUAAUGGACCACCAAGGCGACGAUCAGUAGCUGGUUUGAGAGGAUGAUCAGCCACAAUGGGACUGAGACACGGCCCAUACUCCUACGGGAGGCAGCAGUAGGGAAUUUUGCGCAAUGGGCGAAAGCCCUGACGCAGCAACGCCGCGUGAACGAUUAAGCCCUUCGGGGUGUAAAGUUCUGUCAGUAGGGACGAAUUUUGACGGUACCUACAGAGGAAGCACCGGCUAACUCCGUGCCAGCCGCCGC